AAAGUGGAUCUCGUGGGCCAGAUUUGAGGAUCCCUGGUAUAGACUAUAGCUCAUCUCAGUACAGCCAGUGCUGUCUGUGCUCAUGACCACAACAAAGCAACAACGCCAGAGUGGCUUCCAGCCCGGUUUGAAGUUCUUGGAGGGCAGAAACGCGCUGAAGCUGCUGCGUGCGUGGGUCCUGCGUUCGUUAAUUCAGCGAAGUCUCGCGGUGUUCACGCAACCCCUCUCAGACGUCUUGCGUUUGUCAGACCGCUUCGAAUCUGCUACACGCACGAGCAGAAACGCAGCAUCGCUCGGUCGCCAUCACACCUUCACAUGCGGGGCUGAACUGAGUUUGCGCGCUCGAGACACUCGGAGAGGAUCGCGCGCGGCGUUAUUUUCGUAUUGUGCGUCAUUUCUGCAUUUCUGCGCGUUUCCACCCAGGCAAUAUGGCAACACCCGCCGCUGUAAACCCAUCGGGUUUCUGAACCAUCGCAGCUCGGAAGCACUCAAUUGAGAAACUCUUUUCUGCAUGGAAAUGUGCCAGGUGUCGCUUCGACCUCAUCGGCACCCAGAGAUCAUUAUACUGCUUGAGUCGCACUGAAUUGCUCCUUUCACUCUCUUUUAAGUGCUGCUGGAGAAUAAAGGAACUAAAUGCUUUACUACUGAAUGGGUUAUUUUCCGUUCUUCAUUUUUCGUCGCCCUUGUGUUUGGAAUGGCCUGAUUCCAUCUUUUUCUGUCACGGCUUCUGGUUUUAUAGGGUUUUAGCAAUGAUCUAAAAAGGUCUGGUAGUCCAUUCUGACAUUUUAUAUGGUUAGCUCGGAGUAAAGUAAUAGACAGGGCUACAAACUCAGCAAAAUUUACUGCUUUGAAAUGUGUGUUUUGUAUGUAAUUUGUAAUGAUUAGUUAAUUUUUUUCAUGGAAUGGUGCAAGAGAGAAAGGCUCAAAUGUUACAAAAAAUUACCUUGUCAAAAGGAGUUUUUUUCCCUUUCUCAUUUAAUGUGGUAUUUGUUGUAAGUCCAUGUAAAUAUGUUUUCAUGGCCGGUCAUGUGCUUGACUAUCAGUUCACUCAAGGACUGGCAACUUUCAAGGUCUACAGAGAAAGACUUUUCAUUUACUAGUAAUAUAGCAAAAAUUGCCUACACAUGAGUUAUUAUUGGCUGAUAUUUGGCCAUUUUGAGAUCAUCAUCAGUGGGCAAUGAUCAUGUUGGUUUGAUGAAUUAACAAACUAGCAUUGGCUCUCUUUACCAGCAGCCCAAUUUGUUUUCAUGCAUUUAAGUUUGUGAAUGUUAAUAUUAUUG
RNAcentral lists this long non-coding RNA (1280 nucleotides) under Sinocyclocheilus grahami. Its description in RNAcentral is "lncRNA (ENSSGRG00000050148.1)". The record is from RNAcentral. Lineage: Eukaryota; Metazoa; Chordata; Actinopteri; Cypriniformes; Cyprinidae.